RNAcentral lists this long non-coding RNA (680 nucleotides) under Homo sapiens (human). RNAcentral describes it as "HSALNT0131351". The record is from RNAcentral. Lineage: Eukaryota; Metazoa; Chordata; Mammalia; Primates; Hominidae.
UCAAAUAGCCCAGCGUCAUACAGUGAACAGCGAAAUGCCACGUGUAUAGGACUGAUGAGGAUGGAACAAUACACUGUGUUACAGAUGGGGCUGGAAGACUCAGAAAGUGCUUAGAAAGAAGAGCGUUUGACCUAAGCCUAGCAGGUGUGCCAGGUAGAAAGGGAGGUUUCUCUUCCCUUAAGAAGCUUGGAGGCGCUGACUUUCGAUGUUGGCUCAGAGGUUUCAGGAUGCUGGGACCCAUGUCUCUGGGGUUUGCUUGGUAAAGAGAGGAAGGGGAGGGGGCACACCCGCAGACUUCUAUUUCAGUCUCAUUGUUGGAAUGGUGCCACCAGGCCACCUUUAGCUGCCCUGGCAGGUAGGGAAGGAUGAAGCAGUGGGGCCUGGGAAAGGCUUCGAGGUGGAGGCAAGGCUGAGUCAUUCUCCAAGUCCAAGGAAGACAGAAGUCAUCAGUCCAAGAAAGGAAGACCAUGGGUAAGACUAAGGGAAGAGAAUGGUGGCUGGGGCUUGAAUUAGAAGAUAUUUUGUGCUUAGGUAAGAUGUUUUGUGUGUCUAGGGCCCGAGGACCCAUAGAGCACAGGCUGUGGGAUGCACUGUUGGAGCAAUGGGCACGCUGUGUGGGUGGACACAGGGACAGUGAAUGGCCGAAGAUGUGGUAAGAGGUGGGGGGCAAGCCAUCAUGC